UGGGGAAUAUUGGACAAUGGGCGAAAGCCUGAUCCAGCCAUGCCGCGUGAGUGAUGAAGGCCUUAGGGUUGUAAAGCUCUUUCGGACGGAACGUCGCGCGGGUUAACAGCCCGCGUGGAUGACGGUACCGUAAGAAGAGCCCGGCUAACUAC
RNAcentral lists this ribosomal RNA (152 nucleotides) under uncultured bacterium. Its description in RNAcentral is "partial 16S ribosomal RNA". It matches the Rfam family "Bacterial small subunit ribosomal RNA", at positions 355 to 504 of the family's 1533-position model. The record is from RNAcentral.